CCGCGGUAAUUCCAGCUCCAAUAGCGUAUAUUAAAGUUGUUGCAGUUAAAAAGCUCGUAGUUGAAUUUCGGGACCAUCAUGUCGGUCGUGCCUCGGUACGUACUGGCAUUGUUGGUUUCUCCCUUCUGACGAACCAUGAUGUCAUUUAUUUGGUGUUGUGGGAAAUCAGGACUGUUACUUUGAAAAAAUUAGAGUGUUUAAAGCAGGCUCACGCUUGAAUACAUUAGCAUGGAAUAAUGAAAUAGGACGUUUGAUUCUAUUUUGUUGGUUUCUAGGAUCGACGUAAUGAUUAAUAGGGAUAGUUGGGGGCAUUAGUAUUCAAUUGUCAGAGGUGAAAUUCUUGGAUUUAUUGAAGACUAACUACUGCGAAAGCAUUUGCCAAGGAUGUUUUCAUUAAUCAAGAACGAAAGUUAGGGGAUCGAAGACGAUCAGAUACCGUCGUAGUCUUAACCAUAAACUAUGCCGACUAGGGAUCGGAUGAUGUUAAUUUUUUAAUGACUCAUUCGGCGCCUUACG
Molecule: ribosomal RNA, 516 nt
Filed under: uncultured Glomus
Lineage: Eukaryota; Fungi; Glomeromycota; Glomeromycetes; Glomerales; Glomeraceae
Description: SSU rRNA
Rfam family: Eukaryotic small subunit ribosomal RNA
Source: RNAcentral